GGCGUGCCUAAUACAUGCAAGUCGAGCGAAUGACGAGAAGCUUGCUUCUCUGAUUUAGCGGCGGACGGGUGAGUAACACGUGGGCAACCUGCCCUACAGAUUGGGAUAACUCAGGGAAACCUGGGCUAAUACCGAAUAAUCCUUCGAAUCACAUGUUUUGAAGUUGAAAGGCGCUUCGGCGUCACUGUAGGAUGGGCCCGCGGUGCAUUAGCUAGUUGGUGGGGUAACGGCCUACCAAGGCAACGAUGCAUAGCCGACCUGAGAGGGUGAUCGGCCACAUUGGGACUGAGACACGGCCCAAACUCCUACGGGAGGCAGCAGUAGGGAAUCUUCCACAAUGGACGAAAGUCUGAUGGAGCAACGCCGCGUGAGUGAUGAAGGUUUUCGGAUCGUAAAACUCUGUUGUAAGGGAAGAACAAGUACGUUAGGAAAUGAACGUACCUUGACGGUACCUUAUUAGAAAGCCACGGCUAACUACGUGCCAGCAGCCGCGGUAAUACGUAGGUGGCAAGCGUUGUCCGGAUUUAUUGGGCGUAAAGCGCGCGCAGGUGGUUUCUUAAGUCUGAUGUGAAAGCCCACGGCUCAACCGUGGAGGGUCAUUGGAAACUGGGGAACUUGAGUGCAGAAGAGGAUAGUGGAAUUCCAAGUGUAGCGGUGAAAUGCGUAGAGAUUUGGAGGAACACCAGUGGCGAAGGCGACUGUCUGGUCUGUAACUGACACUGAGGCGCGAAAGCGUGGGGAGCAAACAGGAUUAGAUACCCUGGUAGUCCACGCCGUAAACGAUGAGUGCUAAGUGUUAGGGGGUUUCCGCCCCUUAGUGCUGCAGCUAACGCAUUAAGCACUCCGCCUGGGGAGUACGACCGCAAGGUUGAAACUCAAAGGAAUUGACGGGGGCCCGCACAAGCGGUGGAGCAUGUGGUUUAAUUCGAAGCAACGCGAAGAACCUUACCAGGUCUUGACAUCCCAAUGACCGUCCUAGAGAUAGGAUUUUCCCUUCGGGGACAUUGGUGACAGGUGGUGCAUGGUUGUCGUCAGCUCGUGUCGUGAGAUG
This 1051-nucleotide ribosomal RNA is filed under the name Kurthia gibsonii. RNAcentral's name for it is "bacterial SSU rRNA". It matches the Rfam family "Bacterial small subunit ribosomal RNA", at positions 41 to 1074 of the family's 1533-position model. The record is from RNAcentral. Lineage: Bacteria; Bacillati; Bacillota; Bacilli; Caryophanales; Caryophanaceae.